AUGAAAUGAUGUGGACACUUCUUCAGUAAUUCAUUAAAGCGUUCACAUGCCUCAUAAAAUGUUCCCCAUCCUCGUGUGAAAAUUCCCUAAUUGAAGUUCUCGU
Molecule: small nucleolar RNA, 103 nt
Organism: Cornus florida
Lineage: Eukaryota; Viridiplantae; Streptophyta; Magnoliopsida; Cornales; Cornaceae
Source: RefSeq, a predicted model, not a curated record